UAGCUAGCUAGUUAACCAACCAGUAACACUCACCUUUGCUUUGAUAAUGAAGAUAUUCCUGUUUUUCACCUCCCAUACUACAGCGUUGUUAACCCAUCCAUUCUUGAAAAAGAGAAAUCUGUACUUUUGUAGGCUCUCAUUUAUUGUGCGGUGUAAGGUGACAGAUUCUCUAUAAGAUGGAUCUAA
Molecule: long non-coding RNA, 186 nt
Organism: Etheostoma cragini (Arkansas darter)
Lineage: Eukaryota; Metazoa; Chordata; Actinopteri; Perciformes; Percidae
Exons: 3
Source: RefSeq, a predicted model, not a curated record